RNAcentral lists this ribosomal RNA (1058 nucleotides) under uncultured Ornithinimicrobium sp. Its description in RNAcentral is "bacterial SSU rRNA". It matches the Rfam family "Bacterial small subunit ribosomal RNA", at positions 281 to 1352 of the family's 1533-position model. The record is from RNAcentral. Lineage: Bacteria; Bacillati; Actinomycetota; Actinomycetes; Micrococcales; Ornithinimicrobiaceae.
GGGUAGCCGGCCUGAGAGGGUGACCGGCCACACUCGGACUGAGACACGGCCCAGACUCCUACGGGAGGCAGCAGUGGGGAAUAUUGCACAAUGGGCGAAAGCCUGAUGCAGCGACGCCGCGUGCGGGAUGACGGCCUUCGGGUUGUAAACCGCUUUCAGCUCUGACGAAGCUCUUGUGACGGUAGGAGCAGAAGAAGCACCGGCUAACUACGUGCCAGCAGCCGCGGUAAUACGUAGGGUGCGAGCGUUGUCCGGAAUUAUUGGGCGUAAAGAGCUUGUAGGCGGCUUGUCGCGUCUGCUGUGAAAACCCGGGGCUUAACCCCGGGCUUGCAGUGGGUACGGGCAGGCUAGAGUGUGGUAGGGGAGACUGGAAUUCCUGGUGUAGCGGUGGAAUGCGCAGAUAUCAGGAGGAACACCGAUGGCGAAGGCAGGUCUCUGGGCCAUUACUGACGCUGAGAAGCGAAAGCGUGGGGAGCGAACAGGAUUAGAUACCCUGGUAGUCCACGCCGUAAACGUUGGGCGCUAGGUGUGGGUCCCAUUCCACGGGGUCCGUGCCGCAGCUAACGCAUUAAGCGCCCCGCCUGGGGAGUACGGCCGCAAGGCUAAAACUCAAAGGAAUUGACGGGGGCCCGCACAAGCGGCGGAGCAUGCGGAUUAAUUCGAUGCAACGCGAAGAACCUUACCAAGGCUUGACAUGUACCGGAAACCCUCAGAGAUGGGGGCCCCGCAAGGUCGGUAUACAGGUGGUGCAUGGUUGUCGUCAGCUCGUGUCGUGAGAUGUUGGGUUAAGUCCCGCAACGAGCGCAACCCUCGUUCUAUGUUGCCAGCACGUGAUGGUGGGGACUCAUAGGAGACUGCCGGGGUCAACUCGGAGGAAGGUGGGGAUGACGUCAAAUCAUCAUGCCCCUUACGUCUUGGGCUUCACGCAUGCUACAAUGGCCGGUACAGAGGGCUGCGAAACCGUGAGGUGGAGCGAAUCCCUUAAAGCUGGUCUCAGUUCAGAUUGGGGUCUGCAACUCGACCCCAUGAAGUCGGAGUCGCUAGUAAUCGCAGAUCAG